UGCUUGUGUGAUGCCUUUGUGAAGUCCUAUCUCUCAACAUAAAUACAACACCAAUCCUUUUCUCUCGAACCAUACUUUUCUCUUUCGUGAACCUUCCUUUGCGAGAAGCCAAACGAGUACUUCCUUAGCUCACUCAUUUCACUCUCAUAAAGCACAUCUUCUUCUUUCUUAUUUGAUUCGAGGAAACACAGAAGAAUUUUGAUUUGUUUCGUAAGAAAAAGGAAGGGAAAAGAUGUUUAAGAAGGCAGUAGAGGCAAAAUCGCAUCAGAGACUAUCCGGAGCUGACAGAAAGAAGCUUAAACGAACCGUUAAAGAUAGAUUUCCUCGCGCUUCUGACGCCGAUAUGGAUAAUUUACUCCCUCCCAAAGCUGAGAUAACUGUUUCAAAGUUUCAAAAUCGUGUCCAUGUAUUUGGUGUUGAAGGUGGCUUUCCUAUGUUUUUCGAUGUAGAUGGGCGAGGCAAUGAAAUUUUUCCCACAGUUUUUGCUCUCUGGAAGGUCCCUGAAUUGUUGCCUUCUUUUAUGCUUAAAGGCGGUGAGGUCUCUAGGUUUGUCAUUGGAGGGGCAGAUUUGAUGUUCCCUGGUAUAAAUAUACCUGCUGAAGGCCUACCUUCUUUUUCAUCUGGGGAACCAUGGGCAGUAAAAGUACCUGGCAAUCCAGCACCAAUUGCAGUUGGAUCUACUACUAUGAGCAGCACUGACGCCGUAAAAGCUGGAUUUCGUGGAAAGGCCUUAAGGAUAACUCAUUAUUACCGGGACUUACUUUGGGAGUCAGUUGAGGGCCAUUAUGUGCCAAAUGCAGGUUUCUUGGAAGAUGCUGUCUUCGAGGAUCCUGCUUCCACAUUAUCAGUUCAUAGUUCUGAUGAGUGUCAAGCUACUAGAGACGCUUCAUAUGAGCAGCAGAAUGAGGUUGAGAGCAAAGAAAUUUUGGAAUCUGCUGAUAUGAAUGAUGUUAUAUCCGAACCUCAUCCCUCUUUAAUUGCGGAACUUGAUUGUAAAAAUGAUAUUGUAGAACAAGUCACUGCAGAUGCAAGUAAUUUGAAUGUAACAGAUAAUGUUGCAGCUGAUGAAUCAACUACUGAGGAGCAGUACACAUUGUCAACUGCAGACGUGGAUGCUUAUUUGGAUAAAUGCCUGUUGCAAGCCCUGCAUACAACUGUUAAGGACAAAGAUCUUCCAAUGCCUGGUAGCACUUUAUGGUCCAAUCAUGUUUUACCUUGUAGGCCAUCUGGUAUCAUGCUAGAUAUCAAGAAGUCAUCCCACAAGAAAUUGUCAAAGUGGUUACAAUCUAAAUCAUCUGCAGCAUUGAUUUCAGUAAAGGAAGACAAAUAUAAAAAGGAGACUGUAUUAGUUUCCGUUAACCGCAGUCACCCAGAUUUCUUAUCCUUCAAGCCAGAGAAGAGGCAGGAACAAAAAAUUGAUCAGGCUGCUGACCAAGCUACUACCAGUGAAAGUCGGCUAAAAAAAAUGCUUGAAGUGGUGGACAUCUACAAACCAAGUGUGCAUGUCAAUCCCAUUUUUGCUUCUGUUGGUGCUGAUACAGGGAAACUUUACAGUGCUUCAGAAGCUUCUGAUAUAGUAUUCAAGUAUAUUGAGAAAGAAAAUCUAGUCAAGCCAACAAAUAAGGCCUUCGUAGUUUUAGAUCCAACACUAUGUGAUGCUUUGUUCAAGGGAACAAUUAAGAAAGGAUCAACAUACCCUACAGAGAUUCAUAAGAAAGAUCUAGGAUUGACAUUUGUAAGCCGGAUGCAAGCCCAUUAUGUUGUGACCAGGGGAAGUGAGUCUGUUGUUCGUAAAGGUUCAUUAAAGACAAUUCAAAUUGUAACAGAAAGGCGUCAAGGUAACAAGAAGGUAACAAAAGUCUCAGGUGUAGAAACAUUCUUGAUGGAUGCUGAAGCAUUGGCGUCAGAGCUGCAGAAAAAAUUUGCUUGCAGUACGUCAGUGCAAGAGCUACCAGGCAAGAAAGGGCAUGAGGUUCUCAUUCAAGGUGGUGUGAUUGAUGAUGUAGCACGGCAUCUGGUUGAACAGUAUGGGGUUCCAAAGAGAUAUAUUGAGGUUCUUGAUAAAACCAAGAAAUGAGAAGUGUACUUAAUGAGCACCUUAGUUGGCAAUGAAUACUGCAAAAGCACCCAUUGGUCUCCUCCUAUCCUAAGCAUAUGCUCAUUUAUGCAUAAUGAGUAACUAAAGGUGGGGUAUUCACAAGGUUUGAAGGGUACAACUGCUUAACUACAACUUACAACCUCAUGAGCCAAAUUGGUGCAUUGAAGUUUUGAUCAAUCCCAGAAAUAAAUGCUCAAGGAAGCUCAGAAUUGAGGUUAUAAGUGCAUAAAGCUUUUUUGCAAAAAUGUCCCAACAGUUUAAGUUUGAGAAAAUGGUCUGUUUGAGCUGACUGCGGAACUUGUACAUCUAUUUAUUAUGGUCCUUUUGUUUCACCAAACCGAUGUAAAUUUUCAUUCUAAAUGCACUGGUUUCCUAUAA
Molecule: RNA transcript, 2476 nt
Organism: Hevea brasiliensis (rubber tree)
Lineage: Eukaryota; Viridiplantae; Streptophyta; Magnoliopsida; Malpighiales; Euphorbiaceae
Exons: 10
Source: RefSeq, a predicted model, not a curated record